This 1439-nucleotide ribosomal RNA is filed under the name uncultured bacterium. RNAcentral's name for it is "bacterial SSU rRNA". It matches the Rfam family "Bacterial small subunit ribosomal RNA". The record is from RNAcentral.
AGAGUUUGAUCCUGGCUCAGAACGUACGCUGGCGGCACGCCUAACACAUGCAAGUCGAACGAAGUAGCAAUACUUAGUGGCAGACGGGUGAGUAACAUGUAGGUAUCUACCCUUUGGCCUGGAAUAACACGAGGAAACUUGUGCUAAUACCGGAUAAGUCUUUACGGAGAAAGCUUUAUGCACCAUUGGAUGAGCCUGCACUUGAUUAGUUUGUUGGUGGGGUAAUGGCCUACCAAGACUGUGAUCAAUAGCUGAUUUUAGAGGAUGAUCAGCCACAUUGGGACUGAGACACGGCCCAAACUCCUACGGGAGGCAGCAGUGGGGAAUCUUGCACAAUGGAGGAAACUCUGAUGCAGCGAUGCCGCGUGAGUGAAGAAGGCCUUUGGGUUGUAAAGCUCUUUCGUCGGGGAAGAAAAUGACUGUACCCGAAUAAGAAGGUCCGGCUAACUUCGUGCCAGCAGCCGCGGUAAUACGAAGGGACCUAGCGUAGUUCGGAAUUACUGGGCUUAAAGAGUUCGUAGGUGGUUGAAAAAGUUGGUGGUGAAAUCCCAGAGCUUAACUCUGGAACUGCCAUCAAAACUUUUCAGCUAGAGUAUGAUAGAGGAAAGCAGAAUUUCUAGUGUAGAGGUGAAAUUCGUAGAUAUUAGAAAGAAUACCAAUUGCGAAGGCAGCUUUCUGGAUCAUUACUGACACUGAGGAACGAAAGCAUGGGUAGCGAAGAGGAUUAGAUACCCUCGUAGUCCAUGCCGUAAACGAUGUGUGUUAGACGUUGGAAAUUUAUUUUCAGUGUCGCAGCGAAAGCGAUAAACACACCGCCUGGGGAGUACGACCGCAAGGUUAAAACUCAAAUGAAUUGACGGGGACCCGCACAAGUAGUGGAGCAUGUGGUUUAAUUCGAAGAUACGCGCAGAACCUUACCAACACUUGACAUGUUCGUCGCGACUUUAAGAGAUUAAAGUUUUCGGUUCGGCCGGACGAAACACAGGUGCUGCAUGGCUGUCGUCAGCUCGUGUCGUGAGAUGUUGGGUUAAGUCCCGCAACGAGCGCAACCCUCACUUUUAGUUGCCAUCAUUAAGUUGGGCACUCUGAAAGAACUGCCAGUGAUAAGCUGGAGGAAGGUGGGGAUGACGUCAAGUCCUCAUGGCCCUUACGUGUUGGGCUACACACGUGCUACAAUGGUAUCUACAACAGGAAGCAAGACUGCGAAGUUAAGCAAAUCCUUAAAAGAUACCUCAGUUCGGAUUGCACUCUGCAACUCGAGUGCAUGAAGCUGGAAUUACUAGUAAUCGUGGAUCAGCGUGCCACGGUGAAUGCGUUCCCGGGUCUUGUACACACCGCCCGUCACACCAUGGGAGUUGGUUCUACCUUAAGGCAAGGUUUAAAACCCUUGACCACGGUAUAGUCAGCGACUGGGGUGAAGUCAUAACAAGGUAACCGUA